Molecule: long non-coding RNA, 1932 nt
Organism: Oreochromis niloticus (Nile tilapia)
Lineage: Eukaryota; Metazoa; Chordata; Actinopteri; Cichliformes; Cichlidae
Exons: 3
Source: RefSeq, a predicted model, not a curated record
CGAUUACAGAAAACUGAGGAAGCCCCGGACCGCCUCCGCGCGCGCUCCCGGUCUGCGCACACCGCUCGUGCACGUGCGCCGCAUUGGUGAGAGAAGUAGCCUACGCGAGGCUAAAGCAAUAAAGGGCCUAAUGACUUCUGACCUCUGGACAUCUGGGUGACGAACUGAGCAGGCUGCGAUAAUCAGCAGAGCUGUUCAGCCCCUGACUCUGCUGCUGGGAGCUGAGAAGACUUGAUGAGGACGCGAUAAAGAGAUUCUAAAUAUAAAAAACCUGGCAUUUCUUUAUUCAGAGCUGAAGCUGAAUAAAGAAAGUUGGAAACCACUAGUUGUGUAUUUAGCCUGUCUGUAGCUGGAUCUAUUGGGAUCAUAAAAUAUUCUUGAGUUUCUUUGUUAAAUCUUGUAAAACUGAUCGUGGUAAGUUCUGAGUUUGAGUCUCUCAGUGUGCCGUGACAAAAUUGUGCUUCAUGCCAACCCAAAUUUGAACGUUGGGGUUAAAGCCUCAGUCAUGCAGGCCUAGAAAGGGGUGGGUGUACUGAAUACUCCUGGACUGGUUGGUGCUUGGUGAGUCAUUGCUGGAUGUUGUUCAUCAGAUGAAAACACCCCAAAAAUAUUGCUGCACUAAAAACUUCCUUACGAUUACUUUGAUCUUUAGCAGGUUGCAGUGGAUGCCGUUAGACGAUGCAUAGAUGAUGGCAUCUUUUCUGCAAACACUUGCAGAAAAGAGCUUGAAACCUUUAGAUUAAAAGGCCUGCUUUACUGCUGCAAUCAACAUAUUUCAAGAAGCGUAAUGUUUACUUUGAAUAUAAAUAGUCUUUGUUUUUCAGCACCUCUCAGUUUCACUACCUUUUGGGCGAGUGUUUGCAGAAAAGUCGGCGUCUUCCAUGCAAACUACUGGUGACUGCAGCAACCUGCUUACAACAAAACAGUCACAGGGAGACUUUUGGUGCAGCACUAUACCCGACUACCCGACCUUCCAACUGUCACCAACCAGUUACCAGCUGGUCAGAAUACACGUUUUUCCCUUGUGACGUGUGGGUGCCACGGGGUCGCCCACAGGUCUCUUGGACCUCAGUGAGUCUGUGUGACUCACUAAGGUCCACGUUAUCAUUGGUGUUCUCCCUAAACCUAAACUAUCAAACCAUUUUGUUCUUUUUAAGAAAAAAAAAAUAAUUCUUCAGCCUUGGCAAUCAGGUGAUUCCAACACAUCAUUUUUCCAAAAGUUUUUUUUUUUUUUUUGCUUAUCUGCUUGUCAAUUUUCAUUUUCUCUAGUACAAAAACUGCAUAUAGUACUAUUAUGUGGUUUUAUAUUAUGCAUUAUAUUACAGUAUAUAGUACAGUGUGUUUCACAGAGAUGCUGCUGCACAUCUGGCUUGGGGACUUUUAGAGAGACAGGGAUGAUGAUCUGAGUCUGACACUGAGGUCAUCAAAACAACUGCAGCUGUGGUGAAUAUGGACACCCACAGCAAGCAAGAGGAAACUGUUUCUAUGAUCUGUUUCAGCUCUGCUGUCAUAAGGAAAGACACAGAAACAGUUUACCACCUCAUAUGAUUUCUCUCCUUCCCUGAUUAAGGCUUCUGUGGUUGUUUUUUAGGCUAAAUUUAAAGAGAUAAGAAUAAAGGAAUUCCACUGGUUAUUUGGAAAAAGACAGCAUUUGAGGUUUUUUAUAUUUUAACUGCAUACGGAUGAUUGAAUGAAUGAUCUUUAUUAUCAAUAAACAUAAUAAAAAGGCUUUCCCUUUGAAUAAAAACAAUAAGUAAAUGGAAUGAAUAAAAACAACCAACAGAGGGAAAACAGCAGCAUUAUGCACAUAUCAUAUGUCUUUGUAUUGAAGUCUUAAAUAAUACAAGGUCUUAAAUAAUCAGGCCCCAUCUUAUCUUAAUGACCUUGUAGUACCAUAUCACCCUAUUAGAGCACUUCGCUCUCGCACUGCAG